GAUGAACGCUGGCGGCGUGCCUAAUACAUGCAAGUCGAGCGAACAGACGAGGAGCUUGCUCCUCUGACGUUAGCGGCGGACGGGUGAGUAACACGUGGAUAACCUACCUAUAAGACUGGGAUAACUUCGGGAAACCGGAGCUAAUACCGGAUAAUAUAUUGAACCGCAUGGUUCAAUAGUGAAAGACGGUUUUGCUGUCACUUAUAGAUGUAUCCGCGCCGCUUUAGCUAGUUGGUAAGGUAACGGCUUACCAAGGCAAAGAUGCAGAGCCGACCUGGAAGGGGGGGAGGGCAAAAUGGGAAAGGGAAACGGGUCAAGACCAGGCGGGAAGGAGGAGGAGGGGAACAUUGGAAAAGGAGGAAAGGCGUGAAGAGGAAAGGCGGGGGGGGGAAGAAGGGUGUAGGAAAGUAAAACUCAGUUGAGAGGGAAGAAAGGGGAGGAAAGUGAAAAGCUCAUGAAGUGACGGUAACUACACAGAAAGGGACGGCUAACUACGUG
This 498-nucleotide ribosomal RNA is filed under the name uncultured bacterium. RNAcentral describes it as "partial 16S ribosomal RNA". It matches the Rfam family "Bacterial small subunit ribosomal RNA", at positions 28 to 507 of the family's 1533-position model. The record is from RNAcentral.